CAGCCAUACUGACCCUUGAACAGUAACAGGUUUGAGCUUCAUGGGUCCACUUACACCGAGAUUUUUUUUAUUUUUUUGAUAGUAAAUACUGCAGCACUGCACGAUCAGAGGUGAGUUGAAUCUGCAGAUGAGAAUCCAAGGUUGGCUGAUACCUUAGAUGUGGAACCCUGAUUGUGGAGGGCUGACUGUUAAUUAUUGGUGGAUUUUCAGCUACUUGCAGGAUUGGUGCCCCAAAUCCUGUGUUGUUCGUUUGUUCAAGGGUCAACUCUAUUUCUCUUUAGAUCGAAGGUAUAAGCAGAUUUCGCACUUUUCUGUAGCCUCAGAACAUUAUUUUCAGGAUGUCACUGAUCUUAUCAGUCAGUUUUUCAUGCAACUGGGAACUGUGGGGAUGUAUGAUAUUCCACAUCUGAGGAACAAACUGGGUGAGCGCCAUUGAAAUACUUUAACUUUCUUAUUAAAUGCAAGCCUCCCUCCUCCCUUGUGGCUCAUGUAAGUUAAUGUUCAUUUCUUCAUCAGGGAGAGGGAGUUGGAGACUAGAUAGAUCAUGGUUUUCUUACAGAUUUCUUGCUUGAGCCUGCUUAUUUGCCACUUCUUACCUGCCUGCAGUAUUUUCACUUUAGUGUGCUCUGUUUACACACAAGCUUUCUCAAGCGAUGCUCGUAAGUGGACAUGAAACCAAAAAGGUGAAGACUCAGUGAAGGAGAGGAUGGCCCAAAUUCCGUUCACGUCCUUGAAGUAGCUGUGCUGCCUGAGAUUCCUCAUUCUUUUCCUAAAAUGACUCAAGAGGGACCUGUGUGAGACCAUGGCAUUUUAGAUGUGUCUUCCCAGUAGAAAAGGUGGCUCUUCCUAAUGACAGAAAUUAACAUACCUGUCACUCAUCCCUAUGAGACACCACCUGUGUCUUUUUAAACUGGUUCCUUCUCAGAACAGACUAUUGGCUAGGGAGAAAAGGAUCUUUUUUUUCCUCAUACUUUCAGAAUAGAUGUUUAAAUCACUGCUCUCCCUGGAUCCAUAAAUUUCGGUAGCUAAAAUUUUGAUGGAAAAGUAGGCAGUGAGAGAGAAGAGCUGAUGGGGACUUGCCCUCCCUUGCGUUUUAUACAGCAAUCUUUCCCCUUUCCCUUCCUCUUUUAUGUAGCUCCUAAGUAAGGAAAUGAGAUAUGAAAAAGGGAACUGGGGCAAGUGUUGAAAGUACCAUAGCCUUAUCCUGUGUCAUCGUUUUUCAAGCUGGUUAAUGGGCCAGCAGUGGGCCACACAUCUGCCAGGAAAAAAUUGUUCCUAAGUUGUGUCACUUCGUUUUGUAAAGCUCUGAAGGUUCCAGGCAG
This 1322-nucleotide long non-coding RNA is filed under the name Ovis aries (sheep). RNAcentral describes it as "lncRNA (ENSOARG00000026090.1)". Lineage: Eukaryota; Metazoa; Chordata; Mammalia; Artiodactyla; Bovidae. The record is from RNAcentral.